This 1087-nucleotide ribosomal RNA is filed under the name Acinetobacter baumannii. RNAcentral describes it as "bacterial SSU rRNA". It matches the Rfam family "Bacterial small subunit ribosomal RNA", at positions 1 to 1080 of the family's 1533-position model. Lineage: Bacteria; Pseudomonadati; Pseudomonadota; Gammaproteobacteria; Moraxellales; Moraxellaceae. The record is from RNAcentral.
UUUAACUGAAGAGUUUGAUCAUGGCUCAGAUUGAACGCUGGCGGCAGGCUUAACACAUGCAAGUCGAGCGGGGGAAGGUAGCUUGCUACUGGACCUAGCGGCGGACGGGUGAGUAAUGCUUAGGAAUCUGCCUAUUAGUGGGGGACAACAUCUCGAAAGGGAUGCUAAUACCGCAUACGUCCUACGGGAGAAAGCAGGGGAUCUUCGGACCUUGCGCUAAUAGAUGAGCCUAAGUCGGAUUAGCUAGUUGGUGGGGUAAAGGCCUACCAAGGCGACGAUCUGUAGCGGGUCUGAGAGGAUGAUCCGCCACACUGGGACUGAGACACGGCCCAGACUCCUACGGGAGGCAGCAGUGGGGAAUAUUGGACAAUGGGGGGAACCCUGAUCCAGCCAUGCCGCGUGUGUGAAGAAGGCCUUAUGGUUGUAAAGCACUUUAAGCGAGGAGGAGGCUACUUUAGUUAAUACCUAGAGAUAGUGGACGUUACUCGCAGAAUAAGCACCGGCUAACUCUGUGCCAGCAGCCGCGGUAAUACAGAGGGUGCGAGCGUUAAUCGGAUUUACUGGGCGUAAAGCGUGCGUAGGCGGCUUAUUAAGUCGGAUGUGAAAUCCCCGAGCUUAACUUGGGAAUUGCAUUCGAUACUGGUGAGCUAGAGUAUGGGAGAGGAUGGUAGAAUUCCAGGUGUAGCGGUGAAAUGCGUAGAGAUCUGGAGGAAUACCGAUGGCGAAGGCAGCCAUCUGGCCUAAUACUGACGCUGAGGUACGAAAGCAUGGGGAGCAAACAGGAUUAGAUACCCUGGUAGUCCAUGCCGUAAACGAUGUCUACUAGCCGUUGGGGCCUUUGAGGCUUUAGUGGCGCAGCUAACGCGAUAAGUAGACCGCCUGGGGAGUACGGUCGCAAGACUAAAACUCAAAUGAAUUGACGGGGGCCCGCACAAGCGGUGGAGCAUGUGGUUUAAUUCGAUGCAACGCGAAGAACCUUACCUGGCCUUGACAUACUAGAAACUUUCCAGAGAUGGAUUGGUGCCUUCGGGAAUCUAGAUACAGGUGCUGCAUGGCUGUCGUCAGCUCGUGUCGUGAGAUGUUGGGU